AUGCUGCUCUCUCCGCAGCUGAGCAGUCAAGCCCUGCCCCACCCCGGCAUGAAGGACACCCACGCCCUGCAUGUCCGAGCUGGCCCUGGCUUCUCUGUGCUCAUUGCCUCCUUCCCCGCCCGCCUCCUGGCACUCCCCACCCCACCCCGCCCCCACCCCCUGGUCUCCGGGCUGCACUGCUCUUUUUCCUGCAGCCUCCCUUGGACUAACGAGCUUGAAUCCAACUGCCUCUCUCCUCCACCCAGCCAGGGCCACUGUGUCCCAAAGCCCAGCUCCAAGGUCACCAUCUCCAAGCAGCUCUUCCCACGCCACCCCUCCCUCCAGCCAGGAAGGGGCCCUGGCCCUGGCGUCUUCACCACAGGGGCCUCUGUCAGCUCCUUGUCUUCUGGGUUGGGCUCAUCCACGCAGGCUGCGGCUGCUUCUGGAGGCCAGGAGUGCUUUCCAGAACAUGAUGAGUGCCAAGAAGCACCGAUGGGGGUGCACAGUUUAGAAAAAGCAGGGAAAGGGGCCAGCAUUGUGGCUCACUUGGUUGAUCCUCCACCUGUGGCACCGGCAUCCCAUAUGGGCACUGGGUUCUGGUCCCGGUUGCUCCUCUUCCAGUCCAGCUCUCUGCUGUGGCCCAGGAAGGCAGUGGAGGAUGGCCCAAGUGCUUGGGCCCUGCACCCGCAUGGGAGACCAGGAGAAGCUCCUGGCUCCUGGCUUAGGAUCGGCAUAGCUCCGGCCGUAGCGGCCAUUCAGGGGGUGAACCAACGGAAGGGAGACCUUUCUCUCUGUCUCUCUCUCACUGUCUAUAACUCUACUUGUCAAAUAAAUAAAAUAGUUUUAAAAAAAGAAAAGAAAAAGGAGGGAAAAUGGGGUGAAGGGAGCCAAGGGAUCAGGGCCACGUGUAUUGACCCAGGCAGGCAGGCAGGCAAGCGAGGCCUGGCGGUAGGUAACAGGCACACAGCAGGUGCUGGAGGCAGGAGCAGCUCCACGAAGCCUGGGAGGAGAAGGCCAGUUACUAAGCAAAGGCCCAGAGCAGGACUCGCACCCAGGAGCAGGUGA
This 1044-nucleotide long non-coding RNA is filed under the name Oryctolagus cuniculus (rabbit). Its description in RNAcentral is "lncRNA (ENSOCUG00000036773.1)". Lineage: Eukaryota; Metazoa; Chordata; Mammalia; Lagomorpha; Leporidae. The record is from RNAcentral.